AUGGCGAGCAGCGGCGAGGUGCACAGAUCGCUGCAGGCGGUGGCGCAGAGGCUGCGCUGGACGUACGCCAUCCUCUGGCAGCUCUGCCCCGACCAAGGCGCGCUGGUUUGGGCGGAGGGCCACUACAACGGCGCCAUCAAGACGCGCAAGACGGUGCAGCCGGCCGUCGCCCAGGCGCAGGCGCCGGCGCCGGCGGCGGAGGCAGCCGACCAGGCCCGGAGCCGGCAGCUGCGGGAGCUGUUCGACUCGCUGGCCAGGGAGGCUGCCGCGGGCGGCGGGACAGGCUUCAGGGACGUCCACGGCUGCGCCCAGGAGGCUCGGCGGCCCAGCGCGGCGCUGGCGCCGGAAGACCUGACGGAGACGGAGUGGUUCUAUCUCAUGUCUGCCUCCUACUCCUUCCCUCCCGGCGUCGGGUUACCUGGAAGGGCCUUUGCAAGGGGCGGGCACGUAUGGCUUAGUAGAGCAAAUGAAGUUGACAGCAAGGCAUUCUCAAGAGCAAUACUUGCCAGGAGUGCAGGAAUCAAGACGGUCGUAUGCAUUCCAAUUAUCGACGGCGUCAUGGAAAUCGGUACCACAGAAAAGGUGGAGGAAGACAUGGGUUUGGUCCAGUAUGCAAUGGCCAUCUUCAUGGAUCAACAAGAAACCCACAUGAUCCCCAGCAUCUGCCAUUCCAACCAAACCAGUCACAUUGAUCAACAGUCACUCCAAACACACACUGGUCAGACAAAGCCGGAGCCAAACAAGUUUGACACAGAGUACGAGGAUGAUGAGAUGGAGUACGACGACGACGACGAGAUCGAUGCGGGGUGCACAUCGGGUUCAGCGAGCCAUGAUGAUCAUGCAACACAUAAUGCAGGGAGCAGCGAGCUGAUGCAGGUUGAGAUGUCGGAGAGGGUGAGAGAUGGCUGCUCAAGCAACCUUGGCGAUGAGAUCCAGAUGCUGAUGGUCUGCCAGAACGGUACUAGUGACCAUUCCAAUUUGCAUGGGCAAGAUGAGGCCUGGCAUUUUCUAUAUGAGGAGCUAUGCAGUGGCUACCCUCAAUCGUCAGCUGCAGGUGAGAACCAAUCAAUGGCUGAAAAUGCUCACUACGCACAUACGGUCACGUUGAUCCUGCAUCGCAACAACGCCCUGAGACAAGCCAAUGGCCUGAACACCAGGUCCUACCUGGCAGUCUCGCACCAAUCUUCAUUCUCGAGAUGGGAUGCUGGCAUCCAUGGACGCACGGUCGCCCAAGGCACCACCCGGCAGAAGAUGGUCAAGAGUGUCCUCCUGUUCUUCAGUGCUGCCUGCAACAAGCCACCUGGUGAUCUGAUUCUGAGGUGCGACGAAGCCGGUGCGCGGAGGGAGGUCGACUUCGGCGCCAGCCAUGUCAUGCAGGAGCGGAAGAGAAGGGAGAAGCUCAACGAGAGGUUCAUCAUCCUGCGGUCCCUGGUGCCCUUCGUCACCAAGGCACGCACACAAUCUUCAGCCAAAAAGCUUCAAUCUUUUUUGCAUGGUUGUCAGAUGGACAAGGCGUCGAUACUCGGCGACACGAUCGAGUACGUGAAGCAGCUGACGAAACGCAUCCAGGACCUUGAAUCAUCGACGGUCAGGGGGGCGGCGAUGCCGAAAGAGAAGCGUACGCUGCUGACGGGGAAGGAAGGGGCCAGCAGCAGCAGCGGUAGCAGCAGCAGUGCCCCUUUGGCCACGGACGUGCAGGUGUCCAUCAUCGAGAGCGACGCGCUGCUGGAGCUCCGGUGCCCCGACAGGCGCGGCCUGCUGGUGACCAUCAUGCAGGCGCUCCAGGAGCAGCUCCGGCUCGAGGUCACCUCCGUCCAGGCGUCGUCGGACCACGGCGUGCUGCUCGCCGAAAUGCGAGCCAAGGUACAGCUAUUCUUGGUUCGUUCAUCUGUCUGA
This 1896-nucleotide ribosomal RNA is filed under the name Triticum aestivum (bread wheat). RNAcentral's name for it is "partial small subunit ribosomal RNA". Lineage: Eukaryota; Viridiplantae; Streptophyta; Magnoliopsida; Poales; Poaceae. The record is from RNAcentral.